This 616-nucleotide ribosomal RNA is filed under the name Pneumocystis sp. RNAcentral's name for it is "partial small subunit ribosomal RNA". It matches the Rfam family "Bacterial small subunit ribosomal RNA", at positions 933 to 1325 of the family's 1533-position model. The record is from RNAcentral. Lineage: Eukaryota; Fungi; Ascomycota; Pneumocystomycetes; Pneumocystales; Pneumocystaceae.
UGAAGCAUNNNNGUUUAAUUCGAUAACCCACGACAAAUCUUACCACUUCUUGCAUAUUCAAGUUCAGAAUUAAGUGAAGGUCGAUUAAAUAAAAUACUAUCUAUAUUCUAUUAUAUUAUUAUAGUAUAGUAUAGUUAAGUUAUUAUAACUAGUAUUUUAUAUUUUAACUUUUCCUUAAUAACACUUGAAUACAGGUGUUGCAUGGCUGUCUUUAGUUCGUGUUGUGAAAUGUUAGGUUCAUUCCGUGAACGAACGCAAUCCUUGUCUUUAAUUACAUUCUUUGGAAUUCAAUUUCAUUAAACUAAAUAAAUGAAUGAAUUAGUUUAACUUUAAUUAAUUAAGUUCAUUCAGUGAACGAAUACAAUUAUCUUUAAUAUAUUAAUUGAAUAAAUUAAACUAACUUCAAUUGAAUUCAUAUUAACUAAAUCAAUUAAAGAAGUAUCUUUUGAUAAAAAAGAAUAAUUAGGACGAAGACAAGUCCUCAUGACCCUUAUGGAGUGGGCUACAGACGUGCCACAAAGAUUUCUACAAUGGGAAGCAAAGAUCCAAGUCCGAGCAAAUCCUUAAAAGAAAUUAUCAUAGUACGGAUAAGAAUCUGAAACNNNNNNCUUUGAAA